Molecule: ribosomal RNA, 460 nt
Filed under: uncultured bacterium
Lineage: Bacteria
Description: partial 16S ribosomal RNA
Rfam family: Bacterial small subunit ribosomal RNA
Source: RNAcentral
CCUACGGGGGGCUGCAGUGAGGAAUAUUGGUCAAUGGCCGUAAGGCUGAACCAGCCAAGUCGCGUGAAGGAAGAAGGAUCUAUGGUUUGUAAACUUCUUUUAUAGGGGAAUAAAGGUAUCCACGUGUGGAUAUUUGCAUGUACCCUAUGAAUAAGCAUCGGCUAACUCCGUGCCAGCAGCCGCGGUAAUACGGAGGAUCCGAGCGUUAUCCGGAUUUAUUGGGUUUAAAGGGAGCGUAGGUGGAUUGUUAAGUCAGUUGUGAAAGUUUGCGGCUCAACCGUAAAAUUGCAGUUGAAACUGGCAGUCUUGAGUACAGUAGAGGUGGGCGGAAUUCGUGGUGUAGCGGUGAAAUGCUUAGAUAUCACGAAGAACUCCGAUUGCGAAGGCAGCAUACCGGCGCCCGACUGACGCUGAGGCACGAAAGCGUGGGGAUCGAACAGGAUUAGAUACCCUGGUAGUC